CCCUUAGAUGUUCUGGGCUGCACACGUGCUACACUGGCAGGUUCAGCGAGCUUCACGCCCUGAUCUGAAAGGAAUGGGAAAUCUUUUCAAAACCUGCCGUGCUUGGGAUAGAUGUUUGCAAUUAUUCAUCUUCAACGAGGAUUGCCUUGUAAGCGCACGUCAUCAGCGUGCAUUGAAUACGACCCUGUAUUCUGUACACACCGCCCGUCGCUCCUACCGAUUGAAGUUUUCGGUGAGUUGACAGGAGGAUUUUUUUGAAACUGGUUCGCCAGUGGAUUUUAGAUCCAAAUGCCAACGAAUCGAUGGCUUUAGAGGAAGGAGAAGUCGUAACA
RNAcentral lists this ribosomal RNA (332 nucleotides) under uncultured eukaryote. Its description in RNAcentral is "partial 18S ribosomal RNA". It matches the Rfam family "Eukaryotic small subunit ribosomal RNA", at positions 1470 to 1796 of the family's 1831-position model. The record is from RNAcentral.